GCCAGGGGCAGUGGCGCACACCUGUAAUCCCAGCAGCUCAGGAGGCUGAGGCAGGAGGAUUGUGAGUUCAAAACCAACCUCAGCAACUUAGCGAGACCCUAUCUCAA
Molecule: small RNA, 107 nt
Filed under: Marmota monax (woodchuck)
Lineage: Eukaryota; Metazoa; Chordata; Mammalia; Rodentia; Sciuridae
Source: RNAcentral